Molecule: ribosomal RNA, 1333 nt
Filed under: Heteralonia sp.
Lineage: Eukaryota; Metazoa; Arthropoda; Insecta; Diptera; Bombyliidae
Description: 16S ribosomal RNA
Rfam family: Bacterial large subunit ribosomal RNA (bases 1087-1246)
Source: RNAcentral
UUAUUAGAGGAUUACUUUUUGUUAUUUAUUUAUAUUUGUUAUUGUAUUAAAAAUAAUUAUAAGUUGAUUUGUUUUAGUAUUUUAUAUAGAAAAAAUAUUUUUAGUGAUAGUUUAUUAGUACUGUGAAGGAAUUUUGAAAUAUAUUGAAAAUUUUAAUGUUUUUAAAGAAAAUUUUAAUUAUUGUACCUUUUGUAUCAGGGUUGAUUAAUUAAUAAUUAUUGAUAUAAUUUUCUCGAUUUCAAAAGAGUUAAUAAUUUAUGGAAGUUAACGUUGAAUAGUUAUUUUUAAUAAAUUAUUGGAAAUGAAAAGUUAAUCGUUUUUGAAGGUAUCUAGUUUUUUAAGAAUUGAAUUUAAUUCAUUCUUAGUAGUUGAUUUUAUUUGUUUUUUAAAUUAAAAUUAUUACUAGGAAAAUAAUAAAAGGGAUAAGCUUUUUAUUAGAUUAAAAAUUAACAUUAAUUUAGUAUUAUUUUGUAGGCUUAGAAUUAGCCAUCAAUUGUAAUUAUGUUAUAAUUUAUUAUAUUUAUAAUAUUAUUUGUUGUAAAUUUUAUUUAAUUAUUAAAAUAUUUUAUUUAAUUUUAUUUUAUAAUUAAUAAUGAUUGAAUUAGUAUAUUUUUAUUGUUUAAAGUAUUUAUUGUUUUUUAGAUUAUUUUAAUUAACUCGGCAAAUAUUAUGUUCGCCUGUUUAUCAAAAACAUGUCUUUUUGAAUUAAAUAUAAAGUCUGACCUGCCCACUGAUAUUUAUUAAAUGGCCGCAGUAUUUUAACUGUGCAAAGGUAGCAUAAUCACUAGUCUUUUAAUUGAAGGCUUGUAUGAAUGGUUGGACGAAACAUAUUCUGUAUCAAAAUAACUUAUGGAAUUUUAUUUUUUAGUUAAAAAGCUAAAAUUUAUAUGAAAGACGAGAAGACCCUAUAGAUCUUUAUAUUUUUAUUUGUUUUAAAUAUUUAGGUAAUUUUAUUUGAGAUAAAUAAAUUUAUUUUGUUGGGGUGACAUUAAGAUUAGUUUAACUCUUAAUUUAUUUUUACAUUAAUUAUUGAAUAUUUCAUUGUUUGAUCCUUUAUUAUGGAUUAUAAAAUUAAGUUACCUUAGGGAUAACAGCGUAAUUUUUUUAGAGAGUUCUUAUCGAUAAAAAAGUUUGCGACCUCGAUGUUGGAUUAAGAUUAAUUUUGGGGGUAGAAUUUCAAUUAAUUAAGUCUGUUCGACUUUUAAUUUCUUACAUGAUCUGAGUUCAAACCGGCGUGAGCCAGGUUGGUUUCUAUCUUUAUUAUAUUAAAAUAUUUUAGUACGAAAGGACCAAAUAUUUGAAUUAUAUUUUUGUAUAAUGAAUUUUAUUAAUU